This 1178-nucleotide ribosomal RNA is filed under the name Bacillus amyloliquefaciens. Its description in RNAcentral is "bacterial SSU rRNA". It matches the Rfam family "Bacterial small subunit ribosomal RNA", at positions 165 to 1329 of the family's 1533-position model. The record is from RNAcentral. Lineage: Bacteria; Bacillati; Bacillota; Bacilli; Caryophanales; Bacillaceae.
AAUACCGGAUGGUUGUCUGAACCGCAUGGUUCAGACAUAAAAGGUGGCUUCGGCUACCACUUACAGAUGGACCCGCGGCGCAUUAGCUAGUUGGUGAGGUAACGGCUCACCAAGGCGACGAUGCGUAGCCGACCUGAGAGGGUGAUCGGCCACACUGGGACUGAGACACGGCCCAGACUCCUACGGGAGGCAGCAGUAGGGAAUCUUCCGCAAUGGACGAAAGUCUGACGGAGCAACGCCGCGUGAGUGAUGAAGGUUUUCGGAUCGUAAAGCUCUGUUGUUAGGGAAGAACAAGUGCCGUUCAAAUAGGGCGGCACCUUGACGGUACCUAACCAGAAAGCCACGGCUAACUACGUGCCAGCAGCCGCGGUAAUACGUAGGUGGCAAGCGUUGUCCGGAAUUAUUGGGCGUAAAGGGCUCGCAGGCGGUUUCUUAAGUCUGAUGUGAAAGCCCCCGGCUCAACCGGGGAGGGUCAUUGGAAACUGGGGAACUUGAGUGCAGAAGAGGAGAGUGGAAUUCCACGUGUAGCGGUGAAAUGCGUAGAGAUGUGGAGGAACACCAGUGGCGAAGGCGACUCUCUGGUCUGUAACUGACGCUGAGGAGCGAAAGCGUGGGGAGCGAACAGGAUUAGAUACCCUGGUAGUCCACGCCGUAAACGAUGAGUGCUAAGUGUUAGGGGGUUUCCGCCCCUUAGUGCUGCAGCUAACGCAUUAAGCACUCCGCCUGGGGAGUACGGUCGCAAGACUGAAACUCAAAGGAAUUGACGGGGGCCCGCACAAGCGGUGGAGCAUGUGGUUUAAUUCGAAGCAACGCGAAGAACCUUACCAGGUCUUGACAUCCUCUGACAAUCCUAGAGAUAGGACGUCCCCUUCGGGGGCAGAGUGACAGGUGGUGCAUGGUUGUCGUCAGCUCGUGUCGUGAGAUGUUGGGUUAAGUCCCGCAACGAGCGCAACCCUUGAUCUUAGUUGCCAGCAUUCAGUUGGGCACUCUAAGGUGACUGCCGGUGACAAACCGGAGGAAGGUGGGGAUGACGUCAAAUCAUCAUGCCCCUUAUGACCUGGGCUACACACGUGCUACAAUGGACAGAACAAAGGGCAGCGAAACCGCGAGGUUAAGCCAAUCCCACAAAUCUGUUCUCAGUUCGGAUCGCAGUCUGCAACUCGACUGCGUGAAGCUGG